CCUACGGGUGGCAGCAGUGGGGAAUAUUGCACAAUGGGGGAAACCCUGAUGCAGCGACGCCGCGUGAGUGAAGAAGUAAUUCGUUAUGUAAAGCUCUAUCAGCAGGGAAGAAAAUGACGGUACCUGAGUAAGAAGCCCCGGCUAACUACGUGCCAGCAGCCGAGGUAAUACGUAGGGGGCAAGCGUUAUCCGGAUUUACUGGGGGUAAAGGGAGCGUAGACGGCAGUGCAAGUCCGGAGUGAAAGGGGGGGGCUCAACCCCCGAAAUGCCCUUGAAACUGUACGGCUGGAGUGCAGGAGAGGUAAGUGGAAUUCCUGGUGUAGCGGUGAAAUGCGUAGAUAUUAGGCAGAACACCAGUGGCGAAGGCAGCUUACUGGACUGUAACUGACGUUGAGGCUCGAAAGCGUGGGGAGCAAACAGGAUUAGAUACCCGAGUAGUC
RNAcentral lists this ribosomal RNA (440 nucleotides) under uncultured bacterium. RNAcentral describes it as "partial 16S ribosomal RNA". It matches the Rfam family "Bacterial small subunit ribosomal RNA", at positions 338 to 795 of the family's 1533-position model. The record is from RNAcentral.